GAAUUCGCCCUUAGAGUUUGAUCCUGGCUCAGGAUGAACGCUGGCGGCGUGCCUAACACAUGCAAGUCGAACGGGUGUACGGGAUGGAAGGCUCCGGCCGGAAGCCCCGUGCAUGAGUGGCGGACGGGUGAGUAACGCGUGGGCAACCUGCCCUGUACAGGGGGACAACACUUAGAAAUAGGUGCUAAUACCGCAUAACGGGGGGAGCCGCAUGGCACCCCCCUGAAAACUCCGGUGGUACAGGAUGGGCCCGCGUCUGAUUAGCUAGUUGGCAGGGUAACGGCUCACCAAGGCGAUGACGGGUAGCCGGUCUGAGAGGAUGUCCGGCCACACUGGAACUGAGACACGGUCCAGACACCUACGGGUGGCAGCAGUCGAGAAUCAUUCACAAUGGGGGAAACCCUGAUGGUGCGACGCCGCGUGGGGGAAUGAAGGUCUUCGGAUUGUAAACCCCUGUCAUGUGGGAGCAAAUUAAAAAGAUAGUACCACAAGAGGAAGAGACGGCUAACUCUGUGCCAGCAGCCGCGGUAAUACAGAGGUCUCAAGCGUUGUUCGGAAUCACUGGGCGUAAAGCGUGCGUAGGCUGUUUCGUAAGUCGUGUGUGAAAGGCGCGGGCUCAACCCGCGGACGGCACAUGAUACUGCGAGACUAGAGUAAUGGAGGGGGAACCGGAAUUCUCGGUGUAGCAGUGAAAUGCGUAGAUAUCGAGAGGAACACUCGUGGCGAAGGCGGGUUCCUGGACAUUAACUGACGCUGAGGCACGAAGGCCAGGGGAGCGAAAGGGAUUAGAUACCCCUGUAGUCCUGGCAGUAAACGGUGCACGCUUGGUGUGCGGGGAAUCGACCCCCUGCGUGCCGGAGCUAACGCGUUAAGCGUGCCGCCUGGGGAGUACGGUCGCAAGAUUAAAACUCAAAGAAAUUGACGGGGACCCGCACAAGCGGUGGAGUAUGUGGCUUAAUUCGAUGCAACGCGAAGAACCUUACCUGGGCUUGACAUGUAAUGAACAACAUGUGAAAGCAUGCGACUCUUCGGAGGCGUUACACAGGUGCUGCAUGGCCGUCGUCAGCUCGUGUCGUGAGAUGUUUGGUUAAGUCCAGCAACGAGCGCAACCCCUGUUGCCAGUUACCAGCACGUGAAGGUGGGGACUCUGGCGAGACUGCCCAGAUCAACUGGGAGGAAGGUGGGGACGACGUCAGGUCAGUAUGGCCCUUAUGCCCAGGGCUGCACACGUACUACAAUGCCCAGUACAGAGGGGGCCGAAGCCGCGAGGCGGAGGAAAUCCUAAAAACUGGGCCCAGUUCGGACUGUAGGCUGCAACCCGCCUACACGAAGCCGGAAUCGCUAGUAAUGGCGCAUCAGCUACGGCGCCGUGAAUACGUUCCCGGGUCUUGCACACACCGCCCGUCA
Molecule: ribosomal RNA, 1407 nt
Filed under: uncultured bacterium
Lineage: Bacteria
Description: bacterial SSU rRNA
Rfam family: Bacterial small subunit ribosomal RNA
Source: RNAcentral